GUAGGUGAACCUGCGGAAGGAUCAUUACCGAGUGAGGGCCCUCUGGGUCCAACCUCCCACCCGUGUUUAUUUACCUUGUUGCUUCGGCGGGCCCGCCUCACGGCCGCCGGGGGGCAUUCGCCCCCGGGCCCGCGCCCGCCGAAGACACCAUUGAACUCUGUCUGAAGAUUGCAGUCUGAGCGAUUAACUAAAUCAGUUAAAACUUUCAACAACGGAUCUCUUGGUUCCG
RNAcentral lists this unclassified non-coding RNA (229 nucleotides) under rhizosphere metagenome. RNAcentral's name for it is "partial ribosomal RNA internal transcribed spacer region". The record is from RNAcentral.